Molecule: ribosomal RNA, 249 nt
Filed under: uncultured bacterium
Lineage: Bacteria
Description: partial 16S ribosomal RNA
Rfam family: Bacterial small subunit ribosomal RNA
Source: RNAcentral
GCAAGUCGAGCGAAGAAAUUUCCUUCGGGAAAGAGUAAGAGCGGAGGACGGGGGAGUAAUAUGUGGGUAAACUGACUAUUCAAAGGGAUAGCCACAGGAAACGGUGAUUAAUACCAUAUAAAACAGCAGCAUCGCAUGAUGUAACUGUCAAAGAUUUAUCGGAAUAAGAUGGACCCGCACCUGAUUAGCUAGUUGGUAGUGUAAUGGACUACCAAGGCGACGAUCAGUAGCCGGCCUGAGAGGGUGAAC